RNAcentral lists this ribosomal RNA (271 nucleotides) under uncultured bacterium. Its description in RNAcentral is "partial 16S ribosomal RNA". It matches the Rfam family "Bacterial small subunit ribosomal RNA", at positions 524 to 794 of the family's 1533-position model. The record is from RNAcentral.
UACGUAGGUGGCAAGCGUUGUCCGGAAUUACUGGGUGUAAAGGGAGCGCAGGCGGGCGAUCAAGUUGGAAGUGAAACUCAUGGGCUCAACCCAUGACCUGCUUUCAAAACUGAACGUCUUGAGUGGUGUAGAGGUAGGCGGAAUUCCCGGUGUAGCGGUGGAAUGCGUAGAUAUCGGGAGGAACACCAGUGGCGAAGGCGGCCUACUGGGCACUAACUGACGCUGAGGCUCGAAAGCAUGGGUAGCAAACAGGAUUAGAAACCCCGGUAGU